RNAcentral lists this ribosomal RNA (467 nucleotides) under uncultured bacterium. RNAcentral's name for it is "partial 16S ribosomal RNA". It matches the Rfam family "Bacterial small subunit ribosomal RNA", at positions 28 to 507 of the family's 1533-position model. The record is from RNAcentral.
GAUGAACGCUGGCGGCGUGCUUAACACAUGCAAGUCGAACGGAAAGGCUCCUGCUUGCAGGGGUACUCGAGUGGCGAACGGGUGAGUAACACGUGGGUGAUCUGCCCUGCACUUCGGGAUAAGCCUGGGAAACUGGGUCUAAUACCGGAUAGGACCACAUUUUGGAUGGUGUGGUGGAAAGUUUUUCGGUGUGGGAUGAGCUCGCGGCCUAUCAGCUUGUUGGUGGGGUAAUGGCCUACCAAGGCGUCGACGGGUAGCCGGCCUGAGAGGGUGUACGGCCACAUUGGAACUGAGAUACGGCCCAGACUCCUACGGGAGGCAGAAGUGGGGAAUAUUGCACAAUGGGCGCAAGCCUGAUGCAGCGACGCCGCGUGGGGGAUGACGGCCUUCGGGUUGUAAACUCCUUUCGCUAGGGACGAAGCGUUUUUGUGACGGUACCUGGAGAAGAAGCACCGGCUAACUACGUG